This 899-nucleotide ribosomal RNA is filed under the name Dichotomopilus funicola. Its description in RNAcentral is "LSU rRNA". It matches the Rfam family "Eukaryotic large subunit ribosomal RNA", at positions 35 to 967 of the family's 3401-position model. Lineage: Eukaryota; Fungi; Ascomycota; Sordariomycetes; Sordariales; Chaetomiaceae. The record is from RNAcentral.
UAAGCAUAUCAAUAAGCGGAGGAAAAGAAACCAACAGGGAUUGCCCUAGUAACGGCGAGUGAAGCGGCAACAGCUCAAAUUUGAAAUCUGGCUUCGGCCCGAGUUGUAAUUUGCAGAGGAAGCUUUAGGCGCGGCACCUUCUGAGUCCCCUGGAACGGGGCGCCAUAGAGGGUGAGAGCCCCGUAUAGUUGGAUGCCUAGCCUGUGUAAAGCUCCUUCGACGAGUCGAGUAGUUUGGGAAUGCUGCUCAAAAUGGGAGGUAAAUUUCUUCUAAAGCUAAAUACCGGCCAGAGACCGAUAGCGCACAAGUAGAGUGAUCGAAAGAUGAAAAGCACUUUGAAAAGAGGGUUAAACAGCACGUGAAAUUGUUGAAAGGGAAGCGCUUGUGACCAGACUUGCGCCAGGCUGAUCAUCCGGUGUUCUCACCGGUGCACUCGGCCCGGCACAGGCCAGCAUCGGUUCUCGCGGGGGGAUAAAGGUCUCGGGAACGUAGCUCCUCCGGGAGUGUUAUAGCCCGGGGCGUAAUGCCCUCGCGGGGACCGAGGUUCGCGCAUCUGCAAGGAUGCUGGCGUAAUGGUCAUCAGCGACCCGUCUUGAAACACGGACCAAGGAGUCAAGGUUUUGCGCGAGUGUUUGGGUGUCAAACCCGCACGCGUAAUGAAAGUGAACGUAGGUGAGAGCUUCGGCGCAUCAUCGACCGAUCCUGAUGUUUUCGGAUGGAUUUGAGUAGGAGCGUUAAGCCUUGGACCCGAAAGAUGGUGAACUAUGCUUGGAUAGGGUGAAGCCAGAGGAAACUCUGGUGGAGGCUCGCAGCGGUUCUGACGUGCAAAUCGAUCGUCAAAUCUGAGCAUGGGGGCGAAAGACUAAUCGAACCAUCUAGUAGCUGGUUACCGCCGAAGU